GAGUUUGAUCAUGGCUCAGAUUGAACGCUGGCGGCAUGCCUUACACAUGCAAGUCGAACGGCAGCAUGAUCUAGCUUGCUAGAUUGAUGGCGAGUGGCGAACGGGUGGGUAAUACAUCGGAACGUGCCCUGUAGUGGGGGAUAACUAGUCGAAAGAUUAGCUAAUACCGCAUACGACCUGAGGGUGAAAGUGGGGGACCGCAAGGCCUCAUGCUAUAGGAGCGGCCGAUGUCUGAUUAGCUAGUUGGUGGGGUAAAGGCCCACCAAGGCGACGAUCAGUAGCUGGUCUGAGAGGACGAUCAGCCACACUGGGACUGAGACACGGCCCAGACUCCUACGGGAGGCAGCAGUGGGGAAUUUUGGACAAUGGGCGAAAGCCUGAUCCAGCAAUGCCGCGUGUGUGAAGAAGGCCUCGGUGUAAG
RNAcentral lists this ribosomal RNA (421 nucleotides) under uncultured microorganism. Its description in RNAcentral is "bacterial SSU rRNA". It matches the Rfam family "Bacterial small subunit ribosomal RNA", at positions 9 to 429 of the family's 1533-position model. The record is from RNAcentral.